Molecule: ribosomal RNA, 346 nt
Filed under: uncultured bacterium
Lineage: Bacteria
Description: partial 16S ribosomal RNA
Rfam family: Bacterial small subunit ribosomal RNA
Source: RNAcentral
CCUACGGGAGGCAGCAGGAGGGAAUAUUGCUCAAUGGGGGAAACCCGGAAGCAGCAACGCCGCGUGGAGGAUGAAGGUUUUCGGAUGGUAAACUCCUUGUGGGAGAGAAGAGAAUGACGGUAGCUAACGAAUAAGCACCGGCUAACUCCGUGCCAGCAGCCGCGGUAAUACGGAGGGUGCAAGCGUUACUCGGAAUCACUGGGCGUAAAGAGCGCGGAGGCGGGCUAGCAAGUCAGAUUUGAAAUCCUCUGGCUUAACCAUAGAACUGCAUUUGAAACUGUUAUUCUAGAGUAUGGGAGAGGUAGUUUGAAUUCUUGGUGUAGUGGUCACCUCCGUCGCGAUCACG